AAGGAGCUUGCUCCUUUGACGUUAGCGGCGGACGGGUGAGUAACACGUGGAUAACCUACCUAUAAGACUGGGAUAACUUCGGGAAACCGGAGCUAAUACCGGAUAACAUAUUGAACCGCAUGGUUCAAUAGUGAAAGGCGGCUUUGCUGUCACUUAUAGAUGGAUCCGCGCCGUAUUAGCUAGUUGGUAAGGUAACGGCUUACCAAGGCAACGAUACGUAGCCGACCUGAGAGGGUGAUCGGCCACACUGGAACUGAGACACGGUCCAGACUCCUACGGGAGGCAGCAGUAGGGAAUCUUCCGCAAUGGGCGAAAGCCUGACGGAGCAACGCCGCGUGAGUGAUGAAGGUCUUCGGAUCGUAAAACUCUGUUAUCAGGGAAGAACAAAUGUGUAAGUAACUGUGCACAUCUUGACGGUACCUGAUCAGAAAGCCACGGCUAACUACGUGCCAGCAGCCGCGGUAAUACGUAGGUGGCAAGCGUUAUCCGGAAUUAUUGGGCGUAAAGCGCGCGUAGGCGGUUUUUUAAGUCUGAUGUGAAAGCCCACGGCUCAACCGUGGAGGGUCAUUGGAAACUGGAAAACUUGAGUGCAGAAGAGGAAAGUGGAAUUCCAUGUGUAGCGGUGAAAUGCGCAGAGAUAUGGAGGAACACCAGUGGCGAAGGCGACUUUCUGGUCUGUAACUGACGCUGAUGUGCGAAAGCGUGGGGAUCAAACAGGAUUAGAUACCCUGGUAGUCCACGCCGUAAACGAUGAGUGCUAAGUGUUAGGGGGUUUCCGCCCCUUAGUGCUGCAGCUAACGCAUUAAGCACUCCGCCUGGGGAGUACGACCGCAAGGUUGAAACUCAAAGGAAUUGACGGGGACCCGCACAAGCGGUGGAGCAUGUGGUUUAAUUCGAAGCAACGCGAAGAACCUUACCAAAUCUUGACAUCCUUUGACCGCUCUAGAGAUAGAGUCUUCCCCUUCGGGGGACAAAGUGACAGGUGGUGCAUGGUUGUCGUCAGCUCGUGUCGUGAGAUGUUGGGUUAAGUCCCGCAACGAGCGCAACCCUUAAGCUUAGUUGCCAUCAUUAAGUUGGGCACUCUAAGUUGACUGCCGGUGACAAACCGGAGGAAGGUGGGGAUGACGUCAAAUCAUCAUGCCCCUUAUGAUUUGGGCUACACACGUGCUACAAUGGACAAUACAAAGGGCAGCUAAACCGCGAGGUCAAGCAAAUCCCAUAAAGUUGUUCUCAGUUCGGAUUGUAGUCUGCAACUCGACUACAUGAAG
This 1268-nucleotide ribosomal RNA is filed under the name Staphylococcus sp. EE-1. RNAcentral describes it as "bacterial SSU rRNA". It matches the Rfam family "Bacterial small subunit ribosomal RNA", at positions 73 to 1325 of the family's 1533-position model. Lineage: Bacteria; Bacillati; Bacillota; Bacilli; Caryophanales; Staphylococcaceae. The record is from RNAcentral.